This 229-nucleotide long non-coding RNA is filed under the name Setaria italica (foxtail millet). Its description in RNAcentral is "long non-coding RNA (SITA_LNC005030)". Lineage: Eukaryota; Viridiplantae; Streptophyta; Magnoliopsida; Poales; Poaceae. The record is from RNAcentral.
GGCUGGCCCAGGUAUGCGUUGUCGCCGCACCUUUUGUUGGGCCAAGUGAUGUGGGAAGGAGGUUCUAUUGGGGACCCCAAGUCUAUGGACCCGUCAUCAGCUGAGAGCCUAAAUACACUAUCCAAGACUUGUUCAAAUUUUCUACUAACAGUCUCAAUCAACCUCCAUCUGUGCAAUUAGUUUAUAAUUAAUUCAUAUUUAAUCUUUCUAAUUAGCCUCCGAAUAUUCG